UACGAAGGGGGCUAGCGUUGUUCGGAAUCACUGGGCGUAAAGCGCACGUAGGCGGAUCUUUAAGUCAGGGGUGAAAUCCCGAGGCUCAACCUCGGAACUGCCUUUGAUACUGGGGAUCUCGAGUCCGGGAGAGGUGAGUGGAACUGCGAGUGUAGAGGUGAAAUUCGUAGAUAUUCGCAAGAACACCAGUGGCGAAGGCGGCUCACUGGCCCGGAACUGACGCUGAGGUGCGAAAGCUUGGGGAGCAAACAGG
Molecule: ribosomal RNA, 253 nt
Filed under: uncultured bacterium
Lineage: Bacteria
Description: partial 16S ribosomal RNA
Rfam family: Bacterial small subunit ribosomal RNA
Source: RNAcentral